GGCUCAGGACGAACGCUGGCGGCGUGCCUAAUACAUGCAAGUCGAGCGGACAGAAGGGAGCUUGCUCCCGGAUGUUAGCGGCGGACGGGUGAGUAACACGUGGGUAACCUGCCUGUAAGACUGGGAUAACUCCGGGAAACCGGAGCUAAUACCGGAUAGUUCCUUGAACCGCAUGGUUCAAGGAUGAAAGACGGUUUCGGCUGUCACUUACAGAUGGACCCGCGGCGCAUUAGCUAGUUGGUGAGGUAACGGCUCACCAAGGCGACGAUGCGUAGCCGACCUGAGAGGGUGAUCGGCCACACUGGGACUGAGACACGGCCCAGACUCCUACGGGAGGCAGCAGUAGGGAAUCUUCCGCAAUGGACGAAAGUCUGACGGAGCAACGCCGCGUGAGUGAUGAAGGUUUUCGGAUCGUAAAGCUCUGUUGUUAGGGAAGAACAAGUGCAAGAGUAACUGCUUGCACCUUGACGGUACCUAACCAGAAAGCCACGGCUAACUACGUGCCAGCAGCCGCGGUAAUACGUAGGUGGCAAGCGUUGUCCGGAAUUAUUGGGCGUAAAGGGCUCGCAGGCGGUUUCUUAAGUCUGAUGUGAAAGCCCCCGGCUCAACCGGGGAGGGUCAUUGGAAACUGGGAAACUUGAGUGCAGAAGAGGAGAGUGGAAUUCCACGUGUAGCGGUGAAAUGCGUAGAGAUGUGGAGGAACACCAGUGGCGAAGGCGACUCUCUGGUCUGUAACUGACGCUGAGGAGCGAAAGCGUGGGGAGCGAACAGGAUUAGAUACCCUGGUAGUCCACGCCGUAAACGAUGAGUGCUAAGUGUUAGGGGGUUUCCGCCCCUUAGUGCUGCAGCUAACGCAUUAAGCACUCCGCCUGGGGAGUACGGUCGCAAGACUGAAACUCAAAGGAAUUGACGGGGGCCCGCACAAGCGGUGGAGCAUGUGGUUUAAUUCGAAGCAACGCGAAGAACCUUACCAGGUCUUGACAUCCUCUGACAACCCUAGAGAUAGGGCUUUCCCUUCGGGGACAGAGUGACAGGUGGUGCAUGGUUGUCGUCAGCUCGUGUCGUGAGAUGUUGGGUUAAGUCCCGCAA
RNAcentral lists this ribosomal RNA (1089 nucleotides) under Bacillus stratosphericus. RNAcentral describes it as "bacterial SSU rRNA". It matches the Rfam family "Bacterial small subunit ribosomal RNA", at positions 21 to 1092 of the family's 1533-position model. The record is from RNAcentral. Lineage: Bacteria; Bacillati; Bacillota; Bacilli; Caryophanales; Bacillaceae.